Molecule: ribosomal RNA, 575 nt
Filed under: uncultured marine eukaryote
Lineage: Eukaryota
Description: SSU rRNA
Rfam family: Eukaryotic small subunit ribosomal RNA
Source: RNAcentral
GUUGCAGUUAAAAAGCUCGUAGUUGGAUUUCUGGGAGGGUGCCAAUGUCCGUCGUCGUACGUGUUGCAGCGGCGCCCUUCCAUCCUUCUGUUAACGACUUUGGGCAUUCACUUGCCGGAGUCGGGCUCAGAUAUUUUACCUUGAGAAAAUUAGAGUGUUUCAGGCAGGCUAGGCCGGAAUACAUUAGCAUGGAAUAAUGGAAUAGGACUACGGUCUCUUUGUUGGUUUGAGGGACUGCAGUAAUGAUUAAUAGGGAUAGUUGGGGGCAUUAGUAUUUAAUUGUCAGAGGUGGAAUUCUCGGAUUUGUUAAAGACUAACUUAUGCGAAAGCAUUUGCCAAGGAUGUUUUCAUUAAUCAAGAACGAAAGUUAGGGGAUCAAAGACGAUCAGAUACCGUCCUAGUCUUAACCAUAAACUAUGCCGACUCGGGAUCGGGGGCGCGAACUAUCCGCCUUCGGCACCGUAUGAGAAAUCAAAGUUUUUGGGUUCCGGGGGGAGUAUGGUCGCAAGGCUGAAACUUAAAGGAAUUGACCGAGGGGCACCCCCAGGAGUGGAGCCUGCGGCUUAAUUUGACUC